GACGAACGCUGGCGGCGUGCUUAACACAUGCAAGUCGAACGCUAAAGCCUUGUUCUUGCGCGGGGCUGAUGUGUGGCGAACGUGUGUAUAAUACGUGAGUAACGUCCCCGACAUUCGGGUAUCUGCCGGGGAAACGGGCUCUUAUAGUGUAUGAGCCAUGCCACUACGUGGGGGUUUGUGGAAAUUGGUUUAGUGGGUUUGGAUUGGCUCGCGGCCUAUCAGCUUGUUGGUGGGGUACUGGCCUACCAAGGCGACGACGGGUAGCCGGCCUGAGAGGGUGACCGGCCACACUGGGACUGAGAUACGGCCCAGACUCCUACGGGAGGCAGCAGUGGGGAAUAUUGCACAAUGGGCGGAAGCCUGAUGCAGCAACGCCGCGUGAGGGAUGACGGCCUUCGGGUUGUAAACCGCUUUCGGCACGGAAGAAGCGAGAGUGACGGUAAUGGGAGAAGAAGCGCCGGCUAACUACGUG
Molecule: ribosomal RNA, 472 nt
Filed under: uncultured bacterium
Lineage: Bacteria
Description: partial 16S ribosomal RNA
Rfam family: Bacterial small subunit ribosomal RNA
Source: RNAcentral